RNAcentral lists this long non-coding RNA (1156 nucleotides) under Homo sapiens (human). RNAcentral's name for it is "HSALNT0223905". Lineage: Eukaryota; Metazoa; Chordata; Mammalia; Primates; Hominidae. The record is from RNAcentral.
GUUUGUGAGGGUGUUGCCAAAGGAGAUUAACAUCUGAGUCAGUGGGCUGGGAAGGCAGAUCCACCCUUAAUCUGGACGGCCACAAUCUAAUCAGCUGCCAGUGAAUAUAAAGCAGGCAGAAAAACAUGAAAAGGUUAGAUGGGCCUAGCCUCUCAGCCUACAUCUUUCUCCCAUGCUGGAUGCCUCCUGCCCUCAAACAUCGGACUCCAAGUUUUUCAGUUUUGGAACUCGGACUGGCUCCCCUUGCUCCUCAGCCUAGACAGCCUAUUCCGCGACCUUGUGAUCAUCCAUGUCUAUUCGACUUUUCCACAUUGAGCAUGAUUCAUUGAAGUUUUUGUUAUACUGAAGCGUGGUUCUCCUCCUCUGCUGGCACUGGUAUGUCAUCGCCUCUGGGCUGCUUAGAAGACUCCUUUAGCAUGUGCUAUUUCCAUAGCACCUCUCUGCAACCUUCAUCUUUCUUUGUGAGUCUCUUCCUCCUGACCAUGUGGUAGCUCCAUUCUGAAACCAGAAUUAUAAAUAAAUAAAGACUUGGAUUUGCCUCUGUCUUUCCCCACACUUAAUACUUCCUGCUCCUGUUCACCAAGGAGGAGAUUUUCUCCCAACCAGUGACUUCAGCUUCAAUUAGGAGUUCCAAAGCAAUCCUGGCACUCUUGGCUUUAGCAUCCUUUCUCAAAUGUCUUGGAAUAACUGCCAAGCACUGUAUUGGAGACCAUAACAUUACCUAGGAUCUCCCAGGGACCAAGAACCACUGUCUCCUUGAAUUCUGGAUGAUCUGCUACUUCACAAUAAGUUCCAAACUCAUAAAGAGUAUCCAAAGCCCCAGAGUUUGAGGGUAAUCUUUGUUUCCCUCCUUGUUCAAGACAGUACAUUUUACUGACCUGGUAUAUUCUUUAUCUAUUGCUGCAUUGAAAAUUACUCCAGUUGGGCUACAGUCAACACAAGGUUCAACUGGGACAAGAUAUACUUCCAAACUCAUCCGGUGGCUGUUGGCAGGUUUCACUUCCUUUUGGGCCGUUGGGCUGAGGACCCAGUUCUCUGCUGGAUGCUGACUAGAAGCUGCCCUGGAUUUCUUGCCUUGCAGGUUCCUCCAACAUGGCAGCUGGUUUCAGCAUCAAAGCACACAAGCCAAGAAGUCAAUAGAGAGGAGAAAGCAGCA